This 253-nucleotide ribosomal RNA is filed under the name uncultured bacterium. Its description in RNAcentral is "partial 16S ribosomal RNA". It matches the Rfam family "Bacterial small subunit ribosomal RNA", at positions 524 to 776 of the family's 1533-position model. The record is from RNAcentral.
UACGGGGGAGGCAAGCGUUGUUCGGAAUUACUGGGCGUAAAGGGUUCGUAGGUGGCUCGCUAAGUCAGACGUGAAAUCCCUCAGCUUAACUGGGGAACUGCGUCUGAGACUGAUGAGCUUGAGUGCAGGAGAGGAACGCGGAAUUCCAGGUGUAGCAGUGAAAUGCGUAGAGAUCGGGAGGAACAUCUGUGGCGAAGGCGACUGCCUGGACCAGCACUGACACUGAGGCACGAAAGCGUGGGGAGCAAACAGG